Lotus japonicus is the source of this 1053-nucleotide long non-coding RNA. RefSeq lists it as uncharacterized. The transcript has 4 exons. NCBI's taxonomy places the organism in Eukaryota, Viridiplantae, Streptophyta, Magnoliopsida, Fabales, Fabaceae. The record is from RefSeq and is a predicted model, not a curated record.
GCUAUUUUCGAGCUAGAUGUUUUGUUGGUUUUAAGGCUACUUCUCGAUGUGUCAAUGUUAAAUUUGGGAACACGUUCUUGUCAUAAUUUGGUAGACUUUUUGGAUCAAUUUCAUCAUUGCCUUGAAAAUUUACAAAGCAAGGAAGUAAAAGCAGAUUUUAGAUCGGCGUCCGGUGAAUCGGUUUUGCAAACGAUGUUCAAAGCAUUGGAGAGGUCUGCUUCUAGGGUGUUCACAAGGGAGGUUUUCAUGUUAUUUCGUUCCAUGCUUGAAAAGUGUUGUAGAGAUGGGCCAAGUCUCCAAAGAAAAUUGUCAGUGGAAACUGGUAUGAAGGUGGUUUUAUUUGGGACUCAACAUCGAUGGCUGGAGCUGGAGCCUUUCUUGAUAUGUCUAAUGAUGAUUUAAUUUCAAUGAUACAGUAGAGAAAGUUAGGCAUCAAAUUGAUAUGUUGGAAGAUGAUGAUGAGGACGACAUUGGCCCUUCAUUGGAAGAUGACAAUGAGAUUAAUUUUAGCAACUUUAGGCGGAGGGUUUUAGUGAUCACUGACUCUGAUGAAUCUGAUGCGAAUGGUAGUUCAUCUGUUAAGAGGCGUGCUCAAAAUUAUGUGGAUGACGAAUGGUGAAUUAGUUAUGCUUUAUGGUCUCUUCAACAAUGAUUAAGUAUUUAGUGGAUUGUAUUAGCACUUGUUUAAAUGGUAAAAGAGAACCUAGUAGUUCAGUGAAGUCAUGAUAUGUUUAUCUGAAUUUUUUUUUUGUAGAUCUUGAUGAAUACCAUUUUGGGCAUUGAAUCAUGCGGUAAAUUUAUCUAAUGGUGCUUAGUUUUGGUGGCAAUUAGUUGAAACUUCAAGUAUGUUCUCUAAAAGGCAAUGCUUUAUGUUUGAGCCGUGGACUUCAUGGCUAGGUCGACAUUUUCUACACCUGCAAGGAUGUUAUCACUUUUAUUAGUAUUUUGUAUUUUACUGUAACCAGCAUGAUAAAAUAGAUAUGGUUAAUGCCAAUGAAUCAUCAUAUCACAUAUGGGGAUUUUAUUUUAGUCUACUUUCCAUUGUUGACUCGA